AACAGAGCUAAAAGAGGAGAGCAACGACAGGAUGUCUGUUGGGUGAAACGAAAGAAGAAUUUGCAGCUGCAUGCGCUUAAGAUGCUGGACCGAGGAGAUCGAUCUGGUGCCAACUUUGAAGUUUCGGAUCCAAUUGAUCGAGUGCCUCAAACGUCGUCGGCGAAGGAGGUAUGGGUAUCUGAUCUGACGACGACACACCAUCUUUACUGCAUUCGGAAGGUGGAGAUCUGCUCUUGAGCAGAGGUACUAAUUGAACUAGGACAUUCAGUUGGAAAUGCAUUUGGAAGCUUCAAGUGCCAGAGAAAAUGAAGUUUUUACUUUGGUUGAUGGUGCAUGAAGCUAUUCAUACUGCUCAACUUAGACACCGAAGAGGGCUCCCGGAGUCAAACUCUUGCACACUUGGGUGAGCUUGUGUUGAAGAUGAGCUUCAUCUAUUCUGGAAUUGCUGGUUGGCUGAAUCUAGGUGGCUACAAUUAGUGUCUAGUGACAAAUGGCAUGAUUUUAAAUGUGGAAAUAUUACUCGGUGGCUGCGGUGGAAUCUGACUAAUGAAGUUGGAGCUCAACACACAAGGCAAUUGUCUUGGAAGAUUCUUUUCUCCUACAUGUGUUGGGAUAUUUGGAUUGAGAGAUGUAGGCUGUUGUUUUGGUAAGGAAGACGAAGAUCCUAAUGUAAAUGCUCUAACUACACUGUACAGAGCUAUGCAAGAUAGGAAGAUGAUUUUUUGUUCAAAUAUGAUUGCUCAUGUAAAGGGAAACUCUACCAAUGGAAUUAACCAUAACUUAUUUGAUGUUCGGAUAAAGGUAGAUAGAUAGUGUGGAUAAUUUAGAAGGAAUUCAGAUUGGAGCAUUGGUCGUUAGACUCAGAGAUCAUGCGUGGGAGCCGGGCUGCUUUCAGAAGGAAAUUCACACCAACAUGGAAGUAGCUGCUUCAAAGAUCCUUUGUCAUGGUCUUCAUCAUUGUUGGGUUAAAGGAAUAGUGUGUAAGUAGUCAUUAAUUGUGCAAAGCUCUUUAAUCUGUUGACUAGAGAUGCAACUUGGGUUCAAAGUGGGCAGGAUAUUGCUUCUUUUUCAGAAGUCCCAUGAAAGAUUGGAACGUGUUCUUUUUCUUGUCAAGCUCCUUCUGUGUAUAUUAGUGAAAUUAUUAGGUUAGGCCUGAUUAGUAAUCAUUCUUGUGAGUCCUUUUAUCAUCAACCCCUUCUCAUGUAGGGGGGGUUAGAUUUUGAAAGUUUGCUGCUCUUUGUUUUUUU
This is a long non-coding RNA of Prosopis cineraria, 1247 nucleotides long. RefSeq lists it as uncharacterized. The transcript has 3 exons. The record is from RefSeq and is a predicted model, not a curated record. Lineage: Eukaryota; Viridiplantae; Streptophyta; Magnoliopsida; Fabales; Fabaceae.